This 253-nucleotide ribosomal RNA is filed under the name uncultured bacterium. RNAcentral's name for it is "partial 16S ribosomal RNA". It matches the Rfam family "Bacterial small subunit ribosomal RNA", at positions 524 to 776 of the family's 1533-position model. The record is from RNAcentral.
UACGAAGGGGGCUAGCGUUGCUCGGAAUUACUGGGCGUAAAGGGAGCGUAGGCGGAUAGUUUAGUCAGAGGUGAAAGCCCAGGGCUCAACCUUGGAACAGCCUUUGAUACUGGCUAUCUUGAGUACGGGAGAGGUGAGUGGAACUCCGAGUGUAGAGGUGAAAUUCGUAGAUAUUCGGAAGAACACCAGUGGCGAAGGCGACUCACUGGCCCGUUACUGACGCUGAGGCUCGAAAGCGUGGGGAGCAAACAGG